Molecule: ribosomal RNA, 468 nt
Filed under: Triticum aestivum (bread wheat)
Lineage: Eukaryota; Viridiplantae; Streptophyta; Magnoliopsida; Poales; Poaceae
Description: partial small subunit ribosomal RNA
Source: RNAcentral
AUGUCUUCGGCAAGCUCCCGCGCCACCUCGCGGAUGCAGAGCUGGGCGCGUGUGGAGAUGCCUGUCUUCGUCUAUCUGCGGUGCCGGGCGAACGUUGAUCGGAGGGUUUCUCACACACCGAGGAACCAGAAUCGUCCGUUCUAUGUGUGCAGCGAGAAUGGGGUGACAUGCUUCUUUCUUUGGGUCGAUGCUCUGGCCAAGACUAUAAAUGAACUGCAAGAAGAGCAUGAAGAAUGGUUGCGCAUGCUGCCCUGAACUGCAGUGGUCGCACCACGAGCUCCGGAAGAAGAGAUGGAGGGUGAAGCACGCACUGACAGAGAGCUAGCUGUUGAGCUUAGGAUGUUGAAGAAGAAGGUUAGGAAGCUUGAAGAUAAAGCACUACCAAUACCCAUUUGCAAAUACUUUUGGGCAUUUGUAGGUAUGGUAAUCGCACUAGUUGUAAUGUUGAAAAUGUAUGGAAAUGCAUGA